This 454-nucleotide ribosomal RNA is filed under the name uncultured bacterium. Its description in RNAcentral is "bacterial SSU rRNA". It matches the Rfam family "Bacterial small subunit ribosomal RNA", at positions 29 to 526 of the family's 1533-position model. The record is from RNAcentral.
AGCGAACGCUGGCGGCAGGCUUAACACAUGCAAGUCGAGCGCCGUAGCAAUACGGAGCGGCAGACGGGUGAGUAACGCGUGGGAACAUGCCCUUUGGUUUGGAAUAACUCAGGGAAACUUGAGCUAAUACCGGAUAAGCCCCGUGAGGGGGAAAGAUUUAUCGCCGAAGGAUUGGCCCGCGUCCGAUUAGCUAGUUGGUGUGGUAAUGGCGCACCAAGGCGACGAUCGGUAGCUGGUCUGAGAGGAUGAUCAGCCACACUGGGACUGAGACACGGCCCAGACUCCUACGGGAGGCAGCAGUGGGGAAUAUUGGACAAUGGGCGCAAGCCUGAUCCAGCCAUGCCGCGUGAGUGAUGAAGGCCCUAGGGUUGUAAAGCUCUUUCGGCGGGGACGAUAAUGACGGUACCCGCAGAAGAAGCCCCGGCUAACUUCGUGCCAGCCGCCGCCGUAAUAC